UAAACCUGGAGGAAGUGUGCCCGUAACCGACACCUCUGGAGUGGGAGAAACAGUGUAUGACCAGAGUGAACCCUCAACCAGUAAGAUACCCCCUCUUCAAGUGAAUAUCCCAGGCAAAAGGAAAUCUGAUGAGACCCAUGCAAACAAACAAACAAAGAAACGACAACGUGGUGCUGCUUCCAGAAUAACU
This is a long non-coding RNA of Coregonus clupeaformis (lake whitefish), 190 nucleotides long. RefSeq lists it as uncharacterized. NCBI's taxonomy places the organism in Eukaryota, Metazoa, Chordata, Actinopteri, Salmoniformes, Salmonidae. The transcript has 3 exons. The record is from RefSeq and is a predicted model, not a curated record.